Molecule: ribosomal RNA, 487 nt
Filed under: uncultured bacterium
Lineage: Bacteria
Description: partial 16S ribosomal RNA
Rfam family: Bacterial small subunit ribosomal RNA
Source: RNAcentral
GGAUGAACGCUGGCGGCGUGCCUAAUACAUGCAAGUCGAACGCUGGAAAUCUAGCUUGCUAGAUUGAAGGAGUGGCGAACGGGUGAGUAAUACAUAAGCAACCUACCCACGAAGACUGGGAUAAUCUCUGGAAACGGGGACUAAUACCGGAUAGGUAAUCGGAAGGCAUCUUCUGAUUAUUAAAGGUUAAAAACACUGGUGGAUGGGCUUAUGGCGCAUUAGUUAGUUGGUGAGGUAACGGCCCACCAAGACGAUGAUGCGUAGCCGGCCUGAGAGGGUGAACGGCCACAUUGGGACUGAGACACGGCCCAGACUCCUACGGGAGGCAGCAGUAGGGAAUUUUCGGCAAUGGGGGAAACCCUGACCGAGCAACGCCGCGUGAGUGAUGACGGCCUUCGGGUUGUAAAGCUCUGUUGUAAGGGAAGAACGGUAGAUAGAGAAUAUCUAAAUGACGGUACCUUACCAGAAAGCCACGGCUAACUACGUG